CCGAACUGCAAAUUCGGAGACGUACCCCAGGUACCGAGACUUCUCCCGUUU
This 51-nucleotide transfer RNA is filed under the name Pristurus carteri. RNAcentral's name for it is "partial tRNA-Cys". Lineage: Eukaryota; Metazoa; Chordata; Lepidosauria; Squamata; Sphaerodactylidae. The record is from RNAcentral.